UACGAGUCCCCGGCAUAACCCGCUGGCAACUAAGGACAGGGGUUGCGCUCGUUGCGGCACUUAAGCCAACACCUCACGGCACGAGCUGACGACAGCCAUGCAGCACCUGUGCUAGCCCCUUACGGACACGGGCUUUCACCCGCUUUAACUAGCAUGUCAAGCCUAGGUAAGGUUCUUCGCGUUGCAUCGAAUUAAGCCACAUGCUCCGCCGCUUGUGCGGGUCCCCGUCAAUUCCUUUGAGUUUUAGCCUUGCGGUCGUACUUCCCAGGUGGAUUACUUAAUGCCUUCGCUCAGACACUUGCUGUGUAUCGCAAAUGUCGAGUAAUCAUCGUUUAGGGCGUGGACUAC
Molecule: unclassified non-coding RNA, 348 nt
Filed under: uncultured Actinomycetes bacterium
Lineage: Bacteria; Bacillati; Actinomycetota; Actinomycetes
Description: uncultured actinobacterium contains 16S-23S intergenic spacer region
Source: RNAcentral